GCCACGCCCGCUCAAGAAACUUAAAGGAAUGACGGGGCCCGCACAAGCGGAGGAGCAUGUGGUUUAAUUCGAUGAUACGCGAGGAACCUUACCUGGGCUCGAACGUAAGAUGACUGUAGGUGAAAGCUUACAUCUCUUCGGAGCAUUUUACGAGGUGCUGCAUGGUUGUCGUCAGCUCGUGCCGUGAGGUGUCGGGUUAAGUCCCAUAACGAGCGCAACCCCUACCUUAGUUGCCAUCAGGUAAUGCUGGGGACUCUAAAGGAACUGCCUACGCAAGUAGUGAGGAAGGCGGGGAUGACGUCAAAUCAGCACGGCCCUUACGUCCAGGGCUACACACGUGCUACAAUGGCCGAUACAGAGGGCAGCUACCUGGUGACAGGAUGCAAAUCUCCAAAGUCGGUCUCAGUUCGGAUCGGAGUCUGCAACCCGACUCCGUGAAGUUGGAUUCGCUAGUAAUCGUGGAUCAGCAUGCCACGGUGAAUACGUUCCCGGGCCUU
Molecule: ribosomal RNA, 497 nt
Filed under: uncultured Sphingobacteriales bacterium
Lineage: Bacteria; Pseudomonadati; Bacteroidota; Sphingobacteriia; Sphingobacteriales
Description: bacterial SSU rRNA
Rfam family: Bacterial small subunit ribosomal RNA
Source: RNAcentral